This 157-nucleotide non-coding RNA is filed under the name Devosia litorisediminis. RNAcentral describes it as "6S / SsrS RNA". It matches the Rfam family "6S / SsrS RNA". From Rfam's summary of the family: E. coli 6S RNA was the first non coding RNA to be sequenced, but its function was unknown until recently. It consists of 184 nucleotides that fold into an extended hairpin structure with a large single-stranded internal bulge. The record is from Rfam by way of RNAcentral. Lineage: Bacteria; Pseudomonadati; Pseudomonadota; Alphaproteobacteria; Hyphomicrobiales; Devosiaceae. RNAcentral also lists the same sequence under 1 other name.
GCAUCGCUGCCCGGUACGUGUGGAAACCAAUAUCCUCGGGGCCUUAUCGAUCUUAAGGGAGCUGUCCCUGACCGGACCCGUGGGUCCGGACAUACGGUGCCCACCUACGUAAAGUAGGUUCCGGGAUCGCGUAUCCCACGGCCAGGGUGGCACCUGA